This 253-nucleotide ribosomal RNA is filed under the name uncultured bacterium. RNAcentral describes it as "partial 16S ribosomal RNA". It matches the Rfam family "Bacterial small subunit ribosomal RNA", at positions 524 to 776 of the family's 1533-position model. The record is from RNAcentral.
UACGGAGGGAGCUAGCGUUGUUCGGAAUUACUGGGCGUAAAGCGCACGUAGGCGGCUUUGUAAGUUAGAGGUGAAAGCCCGGGGCUCAACUCCGGAACUGCCUUUAAGACUGCAUCGCUUGAAUCCGGGAGAGGUGAGUGGAAUUCCGAGUGUAGAGGUGAAAUUCGUAGAUAUGGGGAGGAACACCGGUGGCGAAGGCGGCCACCUGGACGGUCACUGACGCUGAGACGCGAAAGCUAGGGGAGCAAACGGG